RNAcentral lists this transfer RNA (75 nucleotides) under Mycobacterium phage Myrna. It matches the Rfam family "tRNA". Rfam says of the family: Transfer RNA (tRNA) molecules are approximately 80 nucleotides in length. Their secondary structure includes four short double-helical elements and three loops (D, anti-codon, and T loops). Further hydrogen bonds mediate the characteristic L-shaped molecular structure. tRNAs have two regions of fundamental functional importance: the anti-codon, which is responsible for specific mRNA codon recognition, and the 3' end, to which the tRNAs corresponding amino acid is attached (by aminoacyl-tRNA synthetases). tRNAs cope with the degeneracy of the genetic code in two manners: having more than one tRNA (with a specific anti-codon) for a particular amino acid; and 'wobble' base-pairing, i.e. permitting non-standard base-pairing at the 3rd anti-codon position. The record is from Rfam by way of RNAcentral. Lineage: Duplodnaviria; Heunggongvirae; Uroviricota; Caudoviricetes.
GGCCUAUCGGUCCAGUCUGGAGUGGACACCGCCCUGUCACGGCGGAGAGCACGGGUUCAAAUCCCGUAUAGGUCG